UACAGAGGUCCCGAGCGUUGUUCGGAUUCACUGGGCGUAAAGGGUGCGUAGGCGGUGAGGUAAGUCGGAUGUGAAAUCUCCGAGCUCAACUCGGAAAUGGCAUUGGAAACUACCUUGCUAGAGGAUCGGAGGGGGGACUGGAAUACUUGGUGUAGCAGUGAAAUGCGUAGAUAUCAAGUGGAACACCAGUGGCGAAGGCGAGUCCCUGGACGAUACCUGACACUGAGGCACGAAAGCUAGGGGAGCAAACAGG
This 253-nucleotide ribosomal RNA is filed under the name uncultured bacterium. RNAcentral's name for it is "partial 16S ribosomal RNA". It matches the Rfam family "Bacterial small subunit ribosomal RNA", at positions 524 to 776 of the family's 1533-position model. The record is from RNAcentral.